CAUAUAUCCUAGCGUUGCGUUGCAACGAAAGAAACCGCACACGAAACUUUUUUUUACAGACCUAACACCAUGUCCCUUGCAUGCUUUGCUGGGCCUACACAUAUUCUUGCAAAAUGAGCCCUUCUAGUGUUACGUAAUAGAUGAAUAUUCCCUUGCUGGAUCGUAAAGCUUUCCGAAAUUUUCCCGGUGCGGUUACAAACUUUUCAACCAACAAUUCGGAUGAAACAUUUCAACGCGUUUUUCAUGCAACAAAGUAUACAAGUUUGUGUCUGUUCGAUGGUUUUUUCACGGUCAUUUUCUGUGGAGAAUUCUACUUUCCUUCUGAUGAUAUGAAAGUAAAUAAAGAAAGCGUAAAUAAAAAUCACUAAAAUAUGCUGUUUAGACAACGAUUGCGUGCUAAUUCAAACCAUGUUUUAUUUAAAUAGAAAACAAACCAACACCUUUGACGUUUCCAAAUGUCAUUUCAAUGGCGCCGUCAUUUCUGGCGUUUCAAAAUGUCAUUUCAAUGUUUGUUGUUGUUGAAUUAAUAACCAAGCCAGAACCUGCUAAUGGUUUCACGAAUAAUCGUAUUAGAAUGGUUCUUUCGUUUCGAGCGAUGGAUAGAAUUCAUAAUAAAUGAGGACCACGGAUAGCAAACAGGAUACAUACAAAUCAGAGGUCUUCCGACUAUUUGGAAAUGUACAAGUAUUACGAUUACUUCACGUAUCGUUUAAUAAUCUGUUAUGGAUGGAAUUUCGAUGGUGCGCAUCACAAGACAAGAUGCAUUGAGAUUACCCGAAUGUAUGCGAAAUUGGAUGCAAAAAGGGCUGUAGGCGUAUUACUGGCGCCCGUGGCGCGUGGUGAAGCCGUCAAUGCGACCGAGUCGGUAGAGUUAAGCCCCGAAGGGGUUUUUUUUGGGGUGGGGAGGGUCCCCAGACACGCCACGGAAUGCGAAUUGGACAACGUACCGAAAGUGUUGUGCCCAAAAUCCAGAAGAGCAUCCGAGCGUACAGGCCGUCAUCACGACAAAAACAUCCGAAUGCAGAAAACGGGGCGAGGAUCGGUGAGUGAAUGUAGCCCUUAUUUUUCUUUGUUCGGUGAUUACCGUGGAGAAAUGCACCCGGCAAACACACAGCCAGACGUAUAGGGAUAUGCAUUACCUUCGUCAUGCAAAGCAUGCACGUACAUUUGGUACUUUCUUGCGAAAUUUCGUCGCACAUAGUUGAACGCGCCCGAAUUUAGUAGCUCCGGAAAAGCUAACUUUUUCGUUUUUUGUGUGUUGGUUGUCCGGCGAAACAAAAAAAAAGAAUAAAACACCCGAAAUAAUGCUCGCUCGUGCUAAUGUGCAACACACAAUCGUACCAAACAUUUGGGGGGAGGGUUUUUAAGGAGGGGAUUUAGCUGCAUGUUGCUCAGUUUGCUCAAAAACCGUAGCGUUCUGUAACUGCUAUGUACGAUUUGAUUCGUUAAGGAACGGCUUUUAAUACUGACCGAGAAAUGCCCCUCUUUUUUUUUGGCUUGUCGCAAACCCAACUCACCACGAGGGUUGCUUUUUUGUUUUUUGGCAUACUCCGAACGUGACCGGCGCAAAGUGUUGUGUCCUUCAGCUUCAGCAGUGACAAACUUCAAACAAGCGUUUCCUUCUAAACAAUAAGCUUGUUCACUGAUGGUAAUGUGUGCAGGGUGUAUGUGUGGCCCUCGCUGCAUUAUGAACUGUUUGCGAUGGUGGCUGACGUGAAUUCGUUAGUGGUAUGGUUGUGACAUUUUUUGCUGUCAUUUAUAUUCCUAAUGGUCUCGCAUUAAUAUGUGAUGACGUAUAAUAGGUUUACAACUAGCAUAUUGGACCAUUGAAAUAUUAGAUAAUGUGUUUAUCUCUGUGUGAUUUUGGUUCACAUUACUAGUGCGAAGAAUCAUUACAUUAAAUGCAUAAAUUUCUGAUUGGAUUUUCGUAGUAAAUUUUCUGUGAAGCACUAUGAUUUUUUUUUACUAUUUAUUACUAUCGUAUUAAACUUUUCUGAAAUAAAAUAAAGUAUUACAUAUUUAUUCAAGUUUCCUACUUUAUGGGUUACUUAACCGUAGUGUCUACGACCAAAAAAAUACACGUGGUUCUAUGACCGCCUGACCGGGUAGGCCAUACGAUUUGCAUGAGAUUUUUCAGAAUUCCCUUACGAUUUUUUUGGGAAAUUUUGCAAAAAAAAUAAAAUUGUUUUAUUUUAAUCCCAAUUGGUUGCAAUGAGUUUCUUUUCACUCAAAUAAUGAUUGAAAUAAAAAAAAGAGUGAAAAAUAAUGAAAAAAUCAAAAAAUUCAAAAAAUGAAAAUUUACUAAGGGUCAUUUUCGCACCAAAUUUUGCCUAUAACUCGGUCUGUAUCCAACGGAUCGCCAAUCUUUAACCUGUGGUCGAUAGAUGGCACCAAUGGCUACAUUUUCUUCUUGGACGGCCAUACCGUCAGAUGUCUGUGCCAGAAGUUAUUCGAGGAACCAAGUUCCAUACCCUGUUUGAGAAAAUGUAAAAUUUUCUUCAUUUUUGCACCAACUUUUGCAUAUAACUCGGUCGGUAUCCAACGAAUCGCCAAUCUUUAACCUGUGGUCGAUAGAUGGCAUCAAUGGCUACAUUUUCUUCUUGGACGGCCAUGCCCUCAGAUGUCUGUGCCAGAAGUCAUUCGAGGAACCAAAUUCCUUACCCUGUUUGAUAAAAUGUAAAAUUUUUCUCAUUUUUGCACCAAAUUUUGCCUAUAACUCGGUCGGUAUCCAACGGAUCGCCAAUCUUUAACCUGUGGUCGAUAGAUGGCAUCAAUGGCUACAUUUUCUUCUUGGACGGCCAUGCCCUCAGAUGUCUGUGCCAGAAGUUAUUCGAGGAACCAAGUUCCUUACCCUGUUUGAGAAAAUGUAAAAUUUUCUUCAUUUUUGCACCAACUUUUGCCUAUAACUCGGCCGGUAUCCAACGGAUCGCCUAUCUUUAACUUGUGGUCGAUAGAUGACACCAAUGGCUACAUUUUCUUCUUGGACGGCCAUACCGUCAGAUGUCUGUGCCAGAAGUUAUUCAGGGAACCAAGUUCCUUACCCUGUUUCUGAACAAUUUAGCAAUAUUGAAAAAUGUGAUAUAUCUUAAUGGGAAUUUGUUGCAAUAUGUUUCUUUUCACUCAAAUAAUGCUUUAAACUAAAAAAAGAAUAAAAAAUCGAAAAAAAAAUUUCAAAAAAAUUUCAACUCGAAAAUUUCAUAAGGCUUACCCCUUACGUUUUUUUUGAGAAAUUUUGCAAAAAAAAUAAAAUUGUUUUAUUUUAAUCCCAAUUGGUUGCAAUGAGUUUCUUUUCACUCAAAUAAUGAUUGAAAUAAAAAAAAGAGUGAAAAAUAAUGAAAAAAUCAAAAAAUUCAAAAAAAUGAAAAUUUACUAAGGGUCAUUUUCGCACCAAAUUUUGCCUAUAACUCGGUCGGUAUCCAACGGAUCGCCAAUCUUUAACCAGUGGUCGAUAGAUGGCAUCAAUGGCUACAUUUUCUUCUUGGACGGCCAUGCCCUCAGAUGUCUGUGCCAGAAGUUAUUCGAGGAACCAAGUUCCUUACCCUGUUUGAGAAAAUGUAAAAUUUUUCUCAUUUUUGCACCAACUUUUGCCUAUAACUCGGUCGGUAUCCAACGGAUCGCCAAUCUUUAACUUGUGGUCGAUAGAUGGCACCAAUGGCUACAUUUUCUUCUUGGACAGCCAUGCCCUCAGAUGUCUGUACCAGAAGUUAUUCGAGGAACCAAGUUCCUUACCC
Molecule: long non-coding RNA, 3731 nt
Organism: Anopheles funestus (African malaria mosquito)
Lineage: Eukaryota; Metazoa; Arthropoda; Insecta; Diptera; Culicidae
Exons: 5
Source: RefSeq, a predicted model, not a curated record